This 478-nucleotide ribosomal RNA is filed under the name uncultured bacterium. RNAcentral describes it as "partial 16S ribosomal RNA". It matches the Rfam family "Bacterial small subunit ribosomal RNA", at positions 28 to 506 of the family's 1533-position model. The record is from RNAcentral.
GACGAACGCUGGCGGCGCGCUUAACACAUGCAAGUCGAGCGAUGAAAUUUCGACAGAUCCCUUCGGGGUGAAGAUGAAAUGGAUUAGCGGCGGACGGGUGAGUAACACGUGAGUAACCUGCCUUUGACAUUGGGAUAGCCUCGGGAAACUGGGAUUAAUACCAAAUGACACUAACUGAUCACAUGAUCUAUUAGUCAAAGAAAUUCGGUCAAAGAUGGACUCGCGGCUGAUUAGCUAGUUGGUGAGGUAACGGCCCACCAAGGCGACGAUCAGUAGCCGGCCUGGGAGGGUGAUCGGCCACAUUGGAACUGAGACACGGUCCAAACUCCUACGGGAGGCAGCAGUGGGGAAUAUUGCACAAUGGGGGAAACCCUGAUGCAGCGACGCCGCGGGAGCGAAGAAGGCCUUCGGGUCGUAAAGCUCUUUUAUGAGGGAAGAUAAUGACGGUACCUCAAGAAAAAGCCCCGGCUAACUACGU